UUAUGCCUACGGGACGCAGCAGUGAGGAAUAUUGGUCAAUGGCCGAGAGGCUGAACCAGCCAAGUCGCGUGAGGGAUGACGGCCCUACGGGUUGUAAACCUCUUUUGUCGGGGAGCAAGACCCGCCACGAGUGGCGGAGCGAGAGUACCCGAAGAAAAAGCAUCGGCUAACUCCGUGCCAGCAGCCGCGGUAAUACGGAGGAUGCGAGCGUUAUCCGGAUUUAUUGGGUUUGAAGGGUGCGUAGGCGGGCUUUUAAGUCAGCGGUAAAAAUUCGGGGCUCAACCCCGUCCGGCCGUUGAAACUGG
This 305-nucleotide ribosomal RNA is filed under the name uncultured bacterium. RNAcentral's name for it is "bacterial SSU rRNA". It matches the Rfam family "Bacterial small subunit ribosomal RNA", at positions 333 to 636 of the family's 1533-position model. The record is from RNAcentral.